UACGUAGGGUCCGAGCGUUAUCCGGAAUCAUUGGGCGUAAAGCGCAUGUAGGCGGCCAUGUAAGUCGGAUGUGAAAUCCCAGGGCUCAACCCUGGAACUGCAUCCGAUACUGCAUGGCUUGAGGAAGGAAGAGGAGAGUGGAAUUCCCGGUGUAGCGGUGGAAUGCGCAGAUAUCGGGAGGAACACCAGCGGCGAAGGCGGCUCUCUGGGCCUCUCCUGACGCUGAGAUGCGAAAGCGUGGGUAGCGAACAGGAUUAGAUACCCUGGUAGUCCACGCCGUAAACGAUGGGUGCUAGGUGUGGGGAUCAGUUCACGAUCUCCGUGUCGAAGCUAACGCGUUAAGCACCCCGCCUGGGGACUACGGCCGCAAGGCUAAA
Molecule: ribosomal RNA, 377 nt
Filed under: uncultured bacterium
Lineage: Bacteria
Description: bacterial SSU rRNA
Rfam family: Bacterial small subunit ribosomal RNA
Source: RNAcentral